Molecule: ribosomal RNA, 429 nt
Filed under: Chloroflexota bacterium
Lineage: Bacteria; Bacillati; Chloroflexota
Description: Chloroflexi bacterium partial 16S ribosomal RNA
Rfam family: Bacterial small subunit ribosomal RNA
Source: RNAcentral
UGGGGAAUAUUGCACAAUGGGCGCAAGCCUGAUGCAGCCAUGCCGCGUGUAUGAAGAAGGCCUUCGGGUUGUAAAGCACUUUCAGCGGGGAGGAAGGCGUUAAGGUUAAUAACCUUGGCGAUUGACGUUACCCGCAGAAGAAGCACCGGCUAACUCCGUGCCAGCAGCCGCGGUAAUACGGAGGGUGCAAGCGUUAAUCGGAAUUACUGGGCGUAAAGCGCACGCAGGCGGUCUGUCAAGUCGGAUGUGAAAUCCCCGGGCUCAACCUGGGAACUGCAUUCGAAACUGGCAGGCUAGAGUCUUGUAGAGGGGGGUAGAAUUCCAGGUGUAGCGAUGAAAUGCGUAGAGAUCUGGAGGAAUACCGGUGGCGAAGGCGGCCCCCUGGACAAAGACUGACGCUCAGGUGCGAAAGCGUGGGGAGCAAACAGG